Molecule: long non-coding RNA, 331 nt
Filed under: Homo sapiens (human)
Lineage: Eukaryota; Metazoa; Chordata; Mammalia; Primates; Hominidae
Description: long non-coding RNA NONHSAT006098
Source: RNAcentral
UUCUCAGGACUCUUCAAAGGACUAAAAGUUAAAGGCGACAAUGGAUUCACUCGACGAGUCUUAGUCCUGCGCCCUGGUGAAUGGCAGACCCUGCUCCCUGCGAGGGGAUCACGAGGAACUCUCACCACCAUCCCUGCCCUGGUGGAGCCCGCCUGCGGACACAGGAUCCGAAGAUGGCAGCGGAAGCUCUGCAGCGGCCCCUAAAGCGAUUGGGCAGUGUGGGCACAGGCUCCCUCACGGGGUGAAGGCGGCGCAAAGAACUGGAAGAGCCAUCCUGGGAGCCCACCGGGCAUUCAGCUUCCCUUGGGCCCCCAGGCGGCUCGGGCCCGGG